RNAcentral lists this ribosomal RNA (626 nucleotides) under uncultured Actinomycetes bacterium. RNAcentral's name for it is "bacterial SSU rRNA". It matches the Rfam family "Bacterial small subunit ribosomal RNA", at positions 243 to 883 of the family's 1533-position model. Lineage: Bacteria; Bacillati; Actinomycetota; Actinomycetes. The record is from RNAcentral.
AGCUUGUUGGUGAGGUAACGGCUCACCAAGGCAUCGACGGGUAGCUGGUCUGAGAGGACGAUCAGCCACACUGGGACUGAGACACGGCCCAGACUUCUACGGAAGGCAGCAGUAGGGAAUCUUGCGCAAUGGGCGAAAGCCUGACGCAGCAACGCCGCGUGGGGGAUGAAGGCCUUCGGGUCGUAAACCCCUUUCAGCAGGGACGAAAAUGACGGUACCUGCAGAAGAAGGUCCGGCCAACUACGUGCCAGCAGCCGCGGUAAUACGUAGGGACCAAGCGUUGUCCGGAAUUAUUGGGCGUAAAGAGCUCGUAGGCGGUUCGGUAAGUCGGGUGUGAAAAUCCAGGGCUCAACCCUGGGACGCCACCCGAUACUGCUGUGACUAGAGUCCGGUAGAGGAGUGUGGAAUUCCUGGUGUAGCGGUGAAAUGCGCAGAUAUCAGGAGGAACACCAGCGGCGAAGGCGGCACUCUGGGCCGGUACUGACGCUGAGGAGCGAAAGCAUGGGGAGCAAACAGGAUUAGAUACCCUGGUAGUCCAUGCCGUAAACGUUGGGCACUAGGUAUGGGGUCUUAUCAACGGAUUCCGUGCCGUAGCUAACGCAUUAAGUGCCCCGCCUGGGGAGUAC